CCUACGGGAGGCAGCAGGGAGGAAUAUUGGUCAAUGGGCGCGAGCCUGAACCAGCCAAGUAGCGUGAAGGAUGACUGCCAUACGGGUUGUAAACUGCUGUUAUAAAGGAAUAAAGUGAGGCACGUGUGCCUUUUUGUAUGUACUUUAUGAAUAAGGAUCGGCUAACUCCGUGCCAGCAGCCGCGGUAAUACGGAGGAUCCGAGCGUUAGCCGGAUUUAUUGGGGUUAAAGGGAGCGUAGAUGGGUUGUUAAGUCAGUUGUGAAAGUUUGCGGCUCAACCGUAAAAUUGCAAUUCAUACUGGCAGCCUUGAGUACAGUUGAGGUAGGCGGAAUUCGUGGUGUAGCGG
Molecule: ribosomal RNA, 346 nt
Filed under: uncultured bacterium
Lineage: Bacteria
Description: partial 16S ribosomal RNA
Rfam family: Bacterial small subunit ribosomal RNA
Source: RNAcentral